Molecule: ribosomal RNA, 497 nt
Filed under: uncultured bacterium
Lineage: Bacteria
Description: partial 16S ribosomal RNA
Rfam family: Bacterial small subunit ribosomal RNA
Source: RNAcentral
GAUGAACGCUGGCGGCGUGCCUAAUACAUGCAAGUCGAGCGAACAGACGAGGAGCUUGCUCCUCUGACGUUAGCGGCGGAAGGGUGAGUAACAAGUGGAUAACCUACCUAUAAGACUGGGAUAACUUCGGGAAACCGGAGCUCAUACCGGAUAAUAUAUUGAACCGCAUGGUUCAAUAGUGAAAGACGGUUUUGCUGUCACUUAUAGAUGGAUCCGCGCCGCAUUAGCCAGUUGGCAAGGUAACGGCUUACCAAGGCAACGAUGCCUAGCCGACCUGAGAGGGUGAUCGGCCACACUGGAACUGGGACACGGUCCAGACUCCUACGGGAGGCAGCAGUAGGGAAUCUUCCGCAAUGGGCGAAAGCCUGACGGAGCAACGCCGCGUGAGUGAUGAAGGUCUUCGGAUCGUAAAACUCUGUUAUUAGGGAAGAACAAAUGUGUAAGUAACUAUGCACGUCUUGACGGUACCUAAUCAGAAAGCCACGGCUAACUACGUG